GUCGACCGCAAGCGGCAGGCUUAAUACAUGCAGUCGUGGGGCAGCAUGAAUGUAGCAAUACAUUUGAUGGCGACCGGCAAACGGGUGCGGAACACGUACACAACCUUCCUAUAAGUGGGGAAUAGCCCAGAGAAAUUUGGAUUAAUACCCCGUAACAUAACGAUGUGGCAUCACAUUGUUAUUAUAGCUUCGGCGCUUAUUGAUGGGUGUGCGGCUGAUUAGAUAGUUGGCGGGGUAACGGCCCACCAAGUCUACGAUCAGUAGCUGAUGUGAGAGCAUGAUCAGCCACACGGGCACUGAGACACGGGCCCGACUCCUACGGGAGGCAGCAGUAAGGAAUAUUGGUCAAUGGACGCAAGUCUGAACCAGCCAUGCCGCGUGAAGGAUUAAGGUCCUCUGGAUUGUAAACUUCUUUUAUCUGGGACGAAAAAAGGCGAUUCUUCGUCACUUGACGGUACCAGAUGAAUAAGCACCGGCUAACUCCGUGCCAGCAGCCGCGGUAAUACGGAGGGUGCAAGCGUUAUCCGGAUUCACUGGGUUUAAAGGGUGCGUAGGCGGGCAGGUAAGUCAGUGGUGAAAUCCUGGAGCUUAACUCCAGAACUGCCAUUGAUACUAUCUGUCUUGAAUAUUGUGGAGGUAAGCGGAAUAUGUCAUGUAGCGGUGAAAUGCUUAGAUAUGACAUAGAACACCUAUUGCGAAGGCAGCUUACUACGCAUAUAUUGACGCUGAGGCACGAAAGCGUGGGGAUCAAACAGGAUUAGAUACCCUGGCAGUCCACGCCCUAAACGAUGGAUACUCGACAUACGCGAUACACUGUGUGUGUCUGAGCGAAAGCAUUAAGUAUCCCACCUGGG
This 854-nucleotide ribosomal RNA is filed under the name uncultured bacterium. Its description in RNAcentral is "bacterial SSU rRNA". It matches the Rfam family "Bacterial small subunit ribosomal RNA", at positions 28 to 877 of the family's 1533-position model. The record is from RNAcentral.